Molecule: ribosomal RNA, 524 nt
Filed under: Pantoea dispersa
Lineage: Bacteria; Pseudomonadati; Pseudomonadota; Gammaproteobacteria; Enterobacterales; Erwiniaceae
Description: partial 23S ribosomal RNA
Rfam family: Bacterial large subunit ribosomal RNA
Source: RNAcentral
GGGCGUUAAGUUGCAGGGUAUAGACCCGAAACCCGGUGAUCUAGCCAUGGGCAGGUUGAAGGUUGGGUAACACUAACUGGAGGACCGAACCGACUAAUGUUGAAAAAUUAGCGGAUGACUUGUGGCUGGGGGUGAAAGGCCAAUCAAACCGGGAGAUAGCUGGUUCUCCCCGAAAGCUAUUUAGGUAGCGCCUCGUGAACUCAUCUCCGGGGGUAGAGCACUGUUUCGGCUAGGGGGCCAUCCCGGCUUACCAACCCGAUGCAAACUGCGAAUACCGGAGAAUGUUAUCACGGGAGACACACGGCGGGUGCUAACGUCCGUCGUGAAGAGGGAAACAACCCAGACCGCCAGCUAAGGUCCCAAAGUCAUGGUUAAGUGGGAAACGAUGUGGGAAGGCACAGACAGCCAGGAUGUUGGCUUAGAAGCAGCCAUCAUUUAAAGAAAGCGUAAUAGCUCACUGGUCGAGUCGGCCUGCGCGGAAGAUGUAACGGGGCUAAACCAUGCACCGAAGCUGCGGCAGCGAC